GAUGAUGACUACUGGUGGCUUAUGAGUCAUAUACAAUGAAUAUGUGUCUGGAACUCUGAGGUCCAACACAAAAGAAAUCAAAUCUAGUCCAUUCCCAUUGUUUGAAAGGAUUCUGUAGACAGAUGUCAGGAAUAUAUUAAGAUCUUGUUUUUGGUUUUUCUGUUCAUGCAUUUUCUGUGUAUUUUUAUAAUCGGAUCAAUGAAAUAAUAAAUGAAAUAAAGAUGAAGGCAGCAAAAUGUUCUCCAAUUAUAAAAAUAUGUGGUUAGUCAAAGAACAGUAUUGAUGUAUAUUUAAAACACUGACAUAGGUAGGGGAAUAUAUGGCAGUAGGGUGUUUUCUUUGACUAAGAAUGAUAUAGUUAUUGAUAAGUAAUAGUAAACGUUCAUUUCUCUAUCAGUGGCUAGAACAGUAUUAUUCAUUUAUCUACUUAGAGAAAAUAAAAUAUAUGUUAUUGCAAUUCACUGCUUAAUAAUGAUGGACUGAAUUAAAGGUGGAAUGCAAAGACCAAUGAACAUAAUCUCAAUCUUUUCUUAUCACUGCUUUGUUCUGACCUCCAGAGAAUGGUUGCAUUCGAGCUGAUUUAAGCAUUCCACCAUGCUCACGAGCUCCAUGAUUGCCUCUAUAUAUAAAAGGAGGACAGAGAUUAAUAAUGGACAAAUUUGAGCUCUCUGGUUGCUUCUAUAUUGUAGGAGCAUGGAGACCAAUAACAAAUGCCCGAGCUAGCUAAUACCAUCUUCUGUUGUGAUCAAGAUUGUCAUGUACCCUUUCUAUUAGGAAAGAGAGCAAGAAUGGACACACUUGAACUGCUGAAGCAUUUUCCCAUGAUGGUGUGCCCUGUGAUUACAUCUUUGUGUUAGGAGCAUGGAAACCAAUGGAAAAGAAAAAAGCCCAAUUAAUGGUUGCCCUAACUGCUGAAACAAGGAUCAAAGGAGAAAUGCCUCAACUAUUUUUAUCCUCUGCCCUGCUUUAUACUCCUCAGAAUGGACAAAUUUGACCUGUUUUAAGGAUUCUUCUUUGAUCAAGGGUCCUGGGAUUGCAUCUCUCUUUUAGGCGCCAGGAGAUCAAUAACGAAUGUACUCAAGCUGCUUUAGCAUCUUCCAUGGCCAUGAGCUUUCUGGUGGAUGGAG
Rhinolophus ferrumequinum (greater horseshoe bat) is the source of this 1127-nucleotide long non-coding RNA. RefSeq lists it as uncharacterized. The record is from RefSeq and is a predicted model, not a curated record. NCBI's taxonomy places the organism in Eukaryota, Metazoa, Chordata, Mammalia, Chiroptera, Rhinolophidae. The transcript has 6 exons.